Molecule: ribosomal RNA, 310 nt
Filed under: uncultured bacterium
Lineage: Bacteria
Description: bacterial SSU rRNA
Rfam family: Bacterial small subunit ribosomal RNA
Source: RNAcentral
AACGAACGCUGGCGGCGUGCCUAACACAUGCAAGUCGAGCGAGAACAGGACCUUCGGGUCCCUAUUAAAGCGGCGGACGGGUGAGUAACACGUGAGUAACGUACCAUAGAGUGGGGGAUAACUACCCGAAAGGGUGGCUAAUACCGCAUAAGACCACAACGCCUUCGGGCGAAGGGGUCAAAGCCUUCGGGCGCUCUUUGAUCGGCUCGCGGACCAUUAGGUAGUUGGUGAGGUAAUGGCUCACAAAGCCUGAGAUGGUUAGCUGGUCUGAGAGGAUGAUCAGCCACACUGGGACUGAGACACGGCCCAG